RNAcentral lists this long non-coding RNA (581 nucleotides) under Zea mays. RNAcentral's name for it is "long non-coding RNA (ZMAY_LNC005872)". The record is from RNAcentral. Lineage: Eukaryota; Viridiplantae; Streptophyta; Magnoliopsida; Poales; Poaceae.
CAGCAGCCAGCAGCCGUGCGUCGAGGUCGCCACUUGAGCUCGCCUAGCGCCACUCCCACAUUGUUUUUGUUUGAGCCCGUCCCCGUGCGUCGACCGCCGGUGCAGCUCGAUCCCGGAGGACCGUAGCAGAUGGACCUGAGAGAGGGAGCAAAGCAUUACGAGGUGCUGCCCAGUCCCCACAUCCGUUGCUAGUUCUCUCUCAUCCAACUUCUAGCCGAAUCCGAAAUGGAUCCACGCUACAGGCAAUAGGCCCUUGAGGCCGGCGAGGCAAACAGAGCAGACAUUGGAUGAGCCAUCACAAACGGCGGCAUUGAAGGGCCAGGCGGAGAGCAAGGAGACCAGGAAGGUUCACUGCUCCUGCUGUUGUCUUGUUCUGAAUAUGUGCAUCGACUGAAUUGGAUAGAGACCAUUCUCUCGUAUUUCUUCAAGAAUCAUUUCCCAUGUGUCCCGAUCCUUGAUAAAGAACCAAUAAGGAAUAUAUGCAAAGAAUACAGUAUUGUCUUUGUACAUCUUAUGUGCAGAACGAAGCACAUGCCACAAGCAGAACAUCUUUGAGCUAAAGAGAUCAAACUAAAGAAAAA